This is a non-coding RNA of Bemisia tabaci, 2274 nucleotides long. Lineage: Eukaryota; Metazoa; Arthropoda; Insecta; Hemiptera; Aleyrodidae. The record is from RefSeq and is a predicted model, not a curated record.
UAAUUUUUUUUAAAAACUACCAAUAAUGCAAAACAAUUUGCAUUGAUAACUUUUUUAAAACUCCUUUUGUUCUGCGAUUUAGAAUGAAUAAUCUGCCGUAGAAAUUCUGUCCUUCUGUGAGUGUUUUCCAUCAUACCCCAUACGGCAGCAUUUUUCACACCGUUCAGUAUUUCUGUGUUUUUUACUCAAUCAUUAGCGAAGUAUUUAUUUUAGUUUCGUUUUCUUUUGAUCCUUCAGAAUCAUUUGACCGUGUAAAUUCCCUAAUCUGAACUCUCUUUCAUUAUGUAUAAAUCAUAGCAUAUGUCGUUGCGGGUCAGAACCAAUGCUUACCAUCCCCAUGAAUAUGCACAAAAUAACUUCUUGACCAGACUGGACAUCUGCUGAAUUGUUCCUGUGAUUAUUCCUGUAUAUUGCAGUGUCAGGAAGUCAUUACAUCAGGAUAUGGAGGAGCAACUUUUAACUGUGCGCGUUAUGCGCCUAUCGAAGCCAACACUAAGCACACCUAUCAUCGUAACAUCUGAUCCUAAGGACCUUCCUGGUAAUCUUCUGAAUAAUGCCUUAAAACAUGAUCCUACAGCUGUGCCUGGCACUGAAACCCUAGCAGCAGGCCAGUUUCUCUCCAUCACUCAAAAUUUUGGAAAUAUAUAUUUAGGUGAAACUUUCUCAGGUUAUAUUUGUGUUGUGAACACAAGUAGUCAAACUGUUACUGGAGUUUCAAUGAAGGUAGACCUUCAAACUACCUCUGAGAGAAUUCCACUAGUUGGUUACCGCGCAGGUGUUAAACCCAAGGAUCUUUUACCUGGAGACACCUUAGAAGAAGUAAUCCAUCAUGAUGUCCGAGAGCUUGGUCUAACUAUGCUGAUCUGUGAUGUUAGCUAUUCUAGUACGUUUUCAUUUAGAAAAUGUUACAAAUUUCCCGUACUCAAACCUUUGAAUAUAACCACUAAGUUUUAUACAGCUGAGGCUGAUCGCAUAUUUCUAGAGGCUCAAAUACAAAAUAUCACUACUGGUCCUAUUUGUCUCGAAAAAGUGUCCCUGGAAUCUUCAGACUUAUUCAAAGUUCUAAACUUAAACUUACUGGAGAAUGGUGACUCAGUGUUUGGCCAUAUAAACAUGAUGCCCGUGCAAACAACUCGUCAGUUCCUGUACUGCCUGCUCCCACAACCCGCUUUGCUUGCUGAUCAGAAAUUACUAAAUGGUGCUACAAAUAUAGGUAAAUUGGACAUUGUAUGGCGAUCCAACUUGGGUGAAAAAGGCAGGCUGCAAGUAUGUCAACUGGAUAGGCAGGUUCCUGCUUAUAGGGAUAUGCAUUUAUCCAUCACUGAACUGCCAAAUAUUGUUCAAUUAGAAAAACCAUUCAACUUUAAGUGUCGCAUCACGAACACUAGUGAGAGAUUAAUGAAUCUAGUCUUAAAUUUAUUACCAGUCACUGGUUUAGCUUGGAGAGGAGUCUCAGGAAAACAUCUUGGUCCACUAGAACCCAACAAAAAUCUAGAAAUUCCCCUCUCUCUUGUACCUCUUUCAACCGGAUUGUUGUUCAUCUCUGGAAUUCAAAUAGUGGAUCGAAACUCCAAGGAGCCAUUUGUACAUGAUGAAAUAGCCAAAAUAUUUGUCAUUCAAGAUGAAAUUGCUGCAGACUCAUAGGUUUUUUCUUGUUUUUAUCUAAGCUUAAAGGAGAUUCAAUGGUCAUUCAUCACUUAAAAUAGAAAUCUUGACAAGGUAUGAAUUAAAGCAUUGCACAAUAUGCUUUUUCUUCAAAAUAUCUUGAGGAAAAAUUAUCACGCCCGGGAAAAUCUGUAAAUCCACUCCCAAACAAGGUACAUACAAGUGUUUCCAAUUAACAUUGGUCAAACGGUUAAAAAUAUAAAUGACGUUCUUUGCAUAAUCUAUUUUCCAUUUGAUGUGUGUCAGAAACACUUGUCAAUAUCAUCGCUCCUCUGGCGUAAGGCGUAUCUGGAUUACUGCAUGAGCUGCAGGAAGUAUGGAUUUACAUGUAAAUUAGGGCUCAUGUGGAAAGUAAAAUACGCCCGUUACGUCAGAGGGGCGACGAUAUGUACCUUGUCAAGGAGUUGAUUUCCAGACUUCUUGUUGUGAAAAUGUCUAUGUCAGAUUUUGAAGAGACAUCAUGUGACGUUCUCUCUAGUCCAUAUCUUGUUUGGUGGCAUAUUGCUUCACUGAGGUCUUUCUACAACGAUUUUUCCCUGUAUUUUUUAUUGUUUAAUUUAUUUACAUACAGAGGAUCUCAGUCACUCCAAGAGGCGUCAUGUUUUGACG